RNAcentral lists this ribosomal RNA (474 nucleotides) under uncultured bacterium. RNAcentral's name for it is "bacterial SSU rRNA". It matches the Rfam family "Bacterial small subunit ribosomal RNA", at positions 8 to 453 of the family's 1533-position model. The record is from RNAcentral.
AGAGUUUGAUCCUGGCUCAGGAUGAACGCUGGCGGCGUGCCUAACACAUGCAAGUCGAACGGGGUUAUUUUGAUGAAGUCUUCGGAUGGAAUUGAGAUAACCUAGUGGCGGACGGGUGAGUAACGCGUGGGCAACCUGCCCCAUACAGGGGGAUAACAGCCGGAAACGGCUGCUAAAACCGCAUAAGCGCACACCGGCGCAUGCCGGAGUGUGAAAAUGUGUAUCGAAAGAUAUGCAGGUAUGGGAUGGGCCCGCGUCUGAUUAGCUGGUUGGUGAGGUAACGGCCCACCAAGGCGACGAUCAGUAGCCGGCUUGAGAGAGUGACCGGCCACAUUGGGACUGAGACACGGCCCAAACUCCUACGGGAGGCAGCAGUGGGGAAUAUUGCACAAUGGGGGAAACCCUGAUGCAGCGACGCCGCGUGAGUGAAGAAGUACUUCGGUACGUAAAGCUCUAUCAGCAGGAACGUAAGUA